This 632-nucleotide long non-coding RNA is filed under the name Homo sapiens (human). Its description in RNAcentral is "HSALNT0316813". Lineage: Eukaryota; Metazoa; Chordata; Mammalia; Primates; Hominidae. The record is from RNAcentral.
AUCUUAUGUCUGCAAAUCAGGCUAUUAGACUUAGGAGUCCCUCCAAUAGUUCUAUUACCUAGUCAGAAUGUGGGCUUUCAGGACCAAUAUUACAACUGAAAGGGAAACAAUCUUUAAGCCCUGCUCAUACCCAAAUUUGGAGAUUAGGAUUUCUCUUUUUGAACCGGUUAUUUCACUUGGCAUUUGCAGAAGGUUCUGUGCUGCCACCCGAUGCAUCUAUGACCAGGGAAGAAUGAUACCAGGGAAGAAUUACAUUGCAUGGGAUGACCAGCAAGCUCUAAGAAUUAAAGAAGGGGGAGAUGUGGGAGGCACAUGGCCACAUAUUCAAGCUUAUGUACAAGGCAUUUGAGGUUGGGGCAUGGAAAAAUACUGAGGCGCUGUGUGUAUGUUUUAUUUGUGCAUGAGAAUGAAACUCGACCCUGAAAACAGGGCAGGGAGUGGAGUGUGUGGUGUGAUAAGGAACGCUGAAAACAGCCUCCUGAGAAUGCAGUUUGAGUGCUUUUACAAGGCCACAGGUGCCUCACGACCCGACCUCAAAAACGCCAUCUAGUGGAUAUUUGUGGUUUAACAAGCCCUUUCAAUAAAUGACAGACGGAUGCUAAGGUUGACUCUCUUAGGAGAGCUGCCCCCCG